GACCUUCUCACAACCAUGAAUGCAUAGUGAUGUUGGAACGCAUGCUCCAUGCAUGUGGUGUAAUAUGAAGGUGGACAAAGCGCAUUGCAGAUUAUGUAUUCAUGGGAGUCUGUAUAAUUGCCUGUGGCAUGGGAAAUAAUUUUUAAUUAACACUUUAUUAAUAUGAGCGUGUUGGAUCUACAUCAUUACACUACAAAUAUUUUAAUUCAAUUUGAUGCACUAUAUGCAAAUAUCUGUCAAACAAAAUUUUAUACUAAUUUCUUUCACUCUGCACGAUGGAGCCAAUCAUUAGGUCAAUUUUAAAACGCCAUUUUGUGUUAUUCAUGAAAGAAUUCACAGAAAUUAUUAAUACCAGAAUUUCAGAACAUAUAUUGUACAGAUGGACUAGAACACUGGUCACUCAACCAAGGCUUAAUGUAGAAAUGUAAACAGACUUUGACAUUGAAGAAAGCAGUCUUCUGGGAUUUGGCACUGUGUAUAUGUGGUGUUAACCGACGUUAACAGACUUUGACAACAUUGGAACAGCUGAUGCCUACCAGCUGAUUCUGGGGAGCGGGAGCGCCAACAACAAGAUAGUAAUUAAAAUAGUCAAUUAAUGAAAAAUGACUGUUUUCUUACAUUUCUAACACUUUCACUCAUCAUGAAAUAACAUCUUAUGAAAUUGAAGCAUUAAUUCAUUUUCUAUAUUUGGAUUUUAUAUCUGGUAAGGAUUUAUAUAAUUUAAUUUUUAGGGGGUUGGAAUUCUGAUAUGUUUGUCGUGGUAUGUUGCAAAAAAGUCAGAAAGUAAUGGAUAAAUAUGUAAGUUUUCAUGUUGAAUGUUCAUUAAAAUGUUCGUUCAUUGACAAACGUCUCAAUGAAACCGUAGUUAGUUAUUAUUUUCGAAAUCUGUACGGUGCUUUUGGUUUUUUUUUCCUUUGUAUAUAUGUAUAUGUAGGCGAGUCAAAUGAAAACCGUAAAACUGAGAUAAAAAUUCGAAAUAUCGCGCCAUUGUCCUAUAUGUUGGCAGACAUGUUACCAAUGCUAUAAAGAGUAUCCUAUAGGUGGCAGUAUAAUUCAGACAAACAGAACACCAUCACGACCAUCACAGUGCCGGUUUGAAGAUGGCUGCUGGAAUAGGUACAUGCAGGAAAGAACAAAAACGUUCUGUAAUUUGUUUUUUGGUCAGUGAAGGUGUGAAACGGAUUGAAGUUCAUCGACAGAUGAAGGUUCGGUAUGGUGAUGCAUGCUUGUCACAGCAGCAAGUGUACGAGUGGAGUAGGAAAUUCAGAAAUGGUGUGAUGUCUGGCAGACGCUCCUCACCCGGGUCAGGUGCACAGAGUUGUGACCCCUGAGUCUGAUGCAGCAGUUGAAGCCCUAGCGAUGGAGAAUCGCCAAGUGUCGGUGGAUGAAAUAGCCUAAAUUCUUAACAUGAAUCGCGGAUAAGCACACCAUGUCAUUCAUGAUGUGCUCCAGUUUCACAAAGUGUCUGCAAGGUUGGUGCCACAGCAGCUGACUCCAGAAUUGAAACAACAACAACAAUGUGUUGACACCUGUAAAGAACUUCUGCGGCGCCUUGAAGCAGAAGGUGGUGGCUACCUUUUGAGAAUCGCUACUGGUGAUGAAACUUGGGUGUACUACCACCAACCACAAACAAAGAGAACAAGCAAGGAAUGGCAUCAUUCCUCAUCACCAAAAUCCAAGAAGUUCUGAAUCGCAUUAAUGCAGUUCCUGUAAGCAUCCGUACAUCAAAGUAUGAAUGCAUAUUCUUAAUAACUGCUGCAGACCAGCUCAGUAAAUGUAACGGCAGUAAGCUGAAAUUUCUGAUUUAUCUGUGCAGAUUAGCAAGAUAGCGAUCAUGUGAUUGUUUUUUAUACACAUUGCGUUAACUAAUCGGGUUAGUAUCAACGGUAUGAACUGUUAGCUUUACGGUUUGCAGGUCUAACGUAUAAGAGCCACAUGGAUACACAACAAAGGCGUAUAUUACUUUUGUCUACCUCUGUAGUGUAUGGUUCCGAGUAUCUUCAUUAUGCAACGGAUGACAUAAAUAAGUUUUUGAAAAGUACAAUGUUUCACAUAUCCUGUUUGUACCAUAUGCAUUACAUGAUUGUGAUGAAUACGCAAAUAAAGUUACAGGUGCCUUCGAGAAGUGGGGUGAUUGAUGCCAGUAUAUUGUAUCGUUCAUAACUGCAACUGUUAAUUUGUGUAUUUAUAAUACAGAGACCAGUUGGGGUGCAUAAUUUAUAAGUUUUUUACAGACUGAACCUCAAAAUAAAAAAUUUGAGAAAGGUUAGUUUAAAUAACUAAAUAAAAGCCAAUUUCAGAA
This is a long non-coding RNA of Cryptotermes secundus, 2302 nucleotides long. RefSeq lists it as uncharacterized. The transcript has 2 exons. Lineage: Eukaryota; Metazoa; Arthropoda; Insecta; Blattodea; Kalotermitidae. The record is from RefSeq and is a predicted model, not a curated record.